This 2370-nucleotide long non-coding RNA is filed under the name Citrus maxima (pomelo). Its description in RNAcentral is "long non-coding RNA (CMAX_LNC004002)". Lineage: Eukaryota; Viridiplantae; Streptophyta; Magnoliopsida; Sapindales; Rutaceae. The record is from RNAcentral.
AACUUUACGGCUUAUCACCAUGUUUAUAUUAAAAAAACAAGAAUGUCCGCACUUGAUUCUUAAUUUUCUUACAAAUAUGGAUCAAAAUCAAUAUGAAAAAUACAAAUCGGAACAACAUCCGCGUGUUAUGUUUUCAUCGAAGUCCAAAAUAUUUUCUCAAUUAAAAUUCAAUCCCAAGAUAUUGAGUGAGUUAAGGGUGCGUUUGACAUACUAAUAUAAAAUAUUAGGAAAAUGAUAUUCUCACAACACUUAAACACAACACUGCCCAGUAUAAAAUCUGAAUUUUGGGAGAAAAAUUGCCACACACGCGCAUGCUCUCUCACGCGUCUCUCUCUGUUCAAUAGCCAACGUUGCUCGAAUUUUGCCAAGUUUCCUCAUCGCGCAGUGUCGGCUCCGAUCUCUCUCACCACGCAGCAGCCAGCAAGUCUCAGCUCUCCUCACGCAACAAUAGUCUCGUCUCCGACAGCUGCCGUAAUCGUCUUGUUAAGGUAACUCAUUUACGUGCUGCUUAUGAGUUGACUGUUAGGGAGCUGAAGCUCAUUGUCUUGUAAUUGCAGCCUUCGUGAUGUUGAGGAAAGUUUAUCCUGUAAUUGCAGCCUCCAUGUUUAUUUGUUUCAAAGAAAGAGUUGCUUUAUAUUACUCAGAUCUUUAUGCUCUGUUAAUAAAUUAUAUUGCCCAUUGUUUCAAUAGAUUUAAAAGAAAAAACACUUACAGCCCACCGACAUUAAGCUUAUGCUAUAAAUAUUACUGAAAGUGAAUCAUUUUUUUUUAUAUAAUUUAAAGUGAACAUUGAGCUUAUUCUAUAAUUAUCACUUAAAUUACAGCCCACGAACAUUUAAAGUGAAUCAAUUUUUCAUUUAUAGCAUAUUUAGCUUGUAUGUGGUUUACUUUAGCAAUCUUUUAUUGUUUCCAGUUAGUUGAUAAGAAAUAUUUUCAUUUUGUAGAAACAAAGAACAUGGCAAAAAUCAUUGAAGUUGAAGAGUUGGAGAAAAUUGAGGAGGACAAGUUAGAGGGUGAUGAGCCAAUGUGUUUUAAGAAUGAAGAAUGCAUAUGUUUGACAUGAUGCAUUUAAACAUUUUCCCCCCUUUAUUGUGCUUUGAAUGAAGUUAACUUGCUUACUAAACUAUGUGGGUUUACUUAAAUCUUUUCUAGCAGUUGUUGCUGGAAAAAUGGCAACUCAGAUUUAAGUUCGCUGGAUUUGUAAUUAACUUCAAUUAAUUUAAUGUGUUACUCAAUGUGUGUUGAGCUUGUACUUGUUCUGGGAUUCCUUUUAUUUCUUUUUGGGUUUAUAAAUACCUUGUUGAGCAUUGCAAAUAAAAGAAGCUGAUAUAUUAAACCCAACUGACAUUAUUAUUUCAAAUAAGAGAAGUUAAUAUUAUUACAAAUAAGAGAAGCUAAUACAUUAGUUAAACAUACAAGUUAAAUAUAAUACAUAUUAACAAAUGUUCAACCACCACAAAUGAACAAAUGGAACUUGAUUUUUGUCUAACCAAUUACAGGCCAAACAUGAUUUUGCGCAAAUAUUCUACCAGCAAAUUCUAAUUCCUCUCUGACAUAAUGGGCCAUCUCAGAAUAAUUGCUCCUUAUUUCAUCUCCGAAUCCCAAACUCUUUGCUCUUGCUUUUCUAAUAAUUUGCAGGCCUUUUCAGUAGACUCACCCAUGAUUUGAUUUGCAUUCUUACCUCCAAAAUCAUUUCAGCGGACAAACUAGCAAGUUGAAAUAUGUCAAUACUUUCAGCAGAUUCGGCUCCUGAAGAGGAAGAACAACACAGAACCAAAAUUAAAUCUUAAGACUGGAGCAAUCUUAAUGCAGUUUCUAUCGGCGUUAGAAGCCAAGAACUAUUAACAAAUUCAAAACCCUGGACAACCAAGUUUGAAAUUAAUGCAAUGCAUUGAAGUAAAUUACCCUAACAAUUCGAUUACGGUAGCUGUCGGAGACGAGACAUCAACGAACUGCGGAGACGGGAUGGGCAAACAACGCCGGCUGUAGAUUUGUUUGGGAGGGGGGAAGGAGAGAGAGGGGGAGUGAGGGAGCAAGGUGCUUGAAACGCGAGAGAGAGAGAACCAAGAUUUGCCGCGUGAGGAAAAACAAAGCGCUGACUUGCUGCGUGGUGAGAAAGAAUGGAGUCGGCGCUGUUGCUACGUGGCGAGGGAGAACAAAGCGAGACGCGUGAGAGAGUUUGUUGAGUGCUUGGGUGGCAAUUAUUCUCCUAAAAAUCAUAUUUUAUUUUGUGCUCAGUUUUGUCCUUAAGUGUUGUGAGAAUAUCAGCGCUGAUUAUAUUAUGUUAUAUUGUAUUAUUUUAAUAUUGAUGUAUUAUAGUAUGUUAUAUUGUAUUAGUAUUAUAUUAUAAUAAUAUUGUAUAAUAUUUGG